GUCGAGAAUAAUUCACAAUGGACGAAAGUCUGAUGGUGCAACGCCGCGUGGAGGAUGAAGGUCUUCGGAUUGUAAACUCCUGUCAUCGGGGAGUAAGACCUGGCGGUAAAUAGCCGACAGGGUUGAUAGUACCCGAAGAGGAAGGGACGGCUAACUUCGUGCCAGCAGCCGCGGUAAUACGAAGGUCCCAAGCGUUGUUCGGAAUCACUGGGCGUAAAGGGAGCGUAGGCGGCGUGGUAAGUCAGAUGUGAAAUCCCGGGGCUCAACCCCGGAACUGCAUCCGAGACUGCCAUGCUUGAGGGUUGGAGAGGUAGCUGGAAUUCUCGGUGUAGCAGUGAAAUGCGUGGAUAUCGAGAGGAACACUCGUGGCGAAGGCGAGCUACUGGACAACAUCUGACGCUGAGGCUCGAAGGCCAGGGGAGCAAAAGGGAUUAGAUACCCGGGUAGUCC
RNAcentral lists this ribosomal RNA (450 nucleotides) under uncultured bacterium. Its description in RNAcentral is "partial 16S ribosomal RNA". It matches the Rfam family "Bacterial small subunit ribosomal RNA", at positions 354 to 796 of the family's 1533-position model. The record is from RNAcentral.